This is a long non-coding RNA of Phasianus colchicus (ring-necked pheasant), 1748 nucleotides long. Lineage: Eukaryota; Metazoa; Chordata; Aves; Galliformes; Phasianidae. The record is from Ensembl.
GCUCAUCGCUCUGCAAUGGGGUCGGAAGGGUUAUGGGGUCAGAGGGGGCAAUGGGGUCAUUGGGAGUAAUGGGGUGAUUGGGGGCAAUGGGGUCGUUUUGGUCAAUGGGAGGAAUGGGGUCGUUGGGGUCAAUGGCGGCAAUGAGAGCAUUGGGGUCAAUGGGGACAAUGGGGUCAUUGGAGUCAUUGGGGGCAAUGGGGUCAUUGGGGUCAAUGGGACGAAUGGAAGCACUGGGGACAAUGGCGGCAUUGGGGCAAUGGGGUCAUUGGGGUCAAUGGCGGCAAUGGGGUCAUUGGGGGAAAUGGGAGCAAUGGGGUCAUUGGGGGCAAUGGGGUCAAUGGGGACAAUGGGGUCAUUGGGGAAAGUGGGGGGAAUGGGGGCACUGGGGUCAAUGGCGGCAAUGGGGUCAAUGGGGGUAAUGGGGUCAUGGCGGUCAAUGGGGUCAUUGGGGGCAUUGGGGGCANNNNNNNNNNNNNNNNNNNNNNNNNNNNNNNNNNNNNNNNNNNNNNCGGCAAUGGGGUCAAUGGGAGUAAUGGGGUCAUGGCGGUCAAUGGGGUCAUUGGGGUCAUUGGGAUCAUUGGGGCCAAUGGGAGCAAUGGGGCCAUUGGGGUCAAUGGGGGCAAUGAGUGCGAAUGGGAUCCAUGGGAAUAAAGGAGUCAAUGGGGACAUGUGGGAUAGCCGAGGGUCGGCCAUCUUGGGUGGACAGGUCGGCCAUCUUGGCUGCCCAACAGUCGGCCAUCUUGGAUAGCCAAGUCGGCCAUCUUGGAAAUCCAAGUCAGCCAUCUUGGCUGCCCAACACCCGGCCAUCUUGGACACCCAUAAGCCAGCCAUCUUGGCUGCCCAACACCCGGCCAUCUUGGAUAGCGAAGUCAGCCAUCUUGGAUAUCCAAGUCAGCCAUCUUGGAUAGCGAAGUCAGCCAUCUCGGAUAUCCAAGUCAGCCAUCUUGGCUGCCCAACACCCGGCCAUCUUGAAUAGCAAAGUCAGCCAUCUCGGAUAUCCAAGUCAGCCAUCUUGGCUGCCCAACACCCGGCCAUCUUGGAUAGCCAAGUCAGCCAUCUUGGCUGCCCAACAGUCUGCCAUCUUGGACACCCAUAAGCCAGCCAUCUUGGCCGCCCAACACCCGGCCAUCUUGGCGCCCCGGCAGCCAUCUUUUCCCCCCCCACACCUCCAUGUGCUCGAUGUGACGCAGGUGGCUGUUCUUGGUGGCCAGGAGGAGGGCGCGCGCCUCGUCCAGCUGCGUCUUCACCUGCAGGCUCUCGUGGUACAGCAGCGAGAACUGUGACUGCAGCACUUUGUACUCCAAGGUCUCCUUCACCGCCUCCUCCGGCAGCGAGCGCAGAGCCACCUGGCGGAGCGACCCCACACUCAGCCCCUAACGGCCCCACAGUGACCCCAAAGUGCCUCCAUACAGACCCCAUAUCGACCCCACAGUGCCUCCAUGGCAACCCCGUAGCGUCCCCGUAGCAUCCGCGUAGUGACCCCAUAUCAGCCCCGUAGUGACCCCAUAUUGGCCCAAUAGUGACCCCAUAGCAUCUGUAUAGUGAUCCCAUAUCAGCCCCAUAGUGACCCCAUAUCGGCCCCGUAGCGACCCCAUAACAUCCCCAUGUAAACCCCAUAGUGUCCCCAUAGCGACCCCAUAGCAUCUGUAUAGUGAUCCCAUAUCAGCCCCAUAGUGACCCCAUAUCAGCCCCAUAGGGACCCCAUGGGGACCCCAGAAUCCUCAAACCCCAUAGGAAUCCCAUAGAGA